GACGAACGCUUGCGGCGUGCUUAACACAUUCAAGUCGAACGUAAUUUCCCUGCUUUUGUGGGGUGCUCGAGUGGCGAACGGGUGAGUAACACGUGAGUAACCUGCCCUUGACUUUGGGAUAACUUCAGGAAACUCGGUCUAAUACCGGAUAGGAGCUCCUGCUGCAUGGUGGGGGUUGGAAAGUUUCGGCGGUUGGGGAUGGACUCGCGGCUUAUCAUCUUGUUGGUGGGGUAGUGGCUUACCAAGGCUUUGACGGGUCGCCGGCCUGAGAGGGUGACCGGCCACAUUGGGACUGAGAUACGGCCCAGACUGCUACGGGAGGCAGAAGUGGGGAAUAUUGCACAAUGGGCGGAAGACUGAUGCAGCAACGCCGCGUGCGGGAUGAAGGCCUUCGGGUUGUAAACCGCUUUCGCCUGUGACGAAGCGUGAGUGACGGUAAUGGGUAAAGAAGCACCGGCUAACUACGUG
Molecule: ribosomal RNA, 468 nt
Filed under: uncultured bacterium
Lineage: Bacteria
Description: partial 16S ribosomal RNA
Rfam family: Bacterial small subunit ribosomal RNA
Source: RNAcentral